This 497-nucleotide ribosomal RNA is filed under the name uncultured bacterium. RNAcentral describes it as "partial 16S ribosomal RNA". It matches the Rfam family "Bacterial small subunit ribosomal RNA", at positions 28 to 507 of the family's 1533-position model. The record is from RNAcentral.
GACGAACGCUGGCGGCGUGCCUAAUACAUGCAAGUUGAGCGCUGAAGGUUGGUACUUGUACCAACUGGAUGAGCAGCGAACGGGUGAGUAACGCGUGGGGAAUCUGCCUUUGAGCGGGGGACAACAUUUGGAAACGAAUGCUAAUACCGCAUAAAAACUUUAAACACAAGUUUUAAGUUUGAAAGAUGCAAUUGCAUCACUCAAAGAUGAUCCCGCGUUGUAUUAGCUAGUUGGUGAGGUAAAGGCUCACCAAGGCGAUGAUACAUAGCCGACCUGAGAGGGUGGUCGGCCACAUUGGGACUGAGGCACGGCCCAAACUCCUACGGGAGGCAGCAGUAGGGAAACUUCGGCAAUGGACGAAAGUCUGACCGAGCAACGCCGCGGGAGUGAAGAAGGUUUUCGGAUCGUAAAACUCUGUUGGUAGAGAAGGACGUUGGUGAGAGUGGAAAGCUCAUCAAGUGACGGUAACUACUCAGAAAGGGACGGCUAACUACGUG